GAUGAACGCUGGCGGCGUGCUUAACACAUGCAAGUCGAACGGGAAACCUUUUAUUGAAGCUUCGGCAGAUUUAGCUGGUUUCUAGUGGCGGACGGGUGAGUAACGCGUGGGUAACCUGCCUUAUACAGGGGGAUAACAGUCAGAAAUGGCUGCUAAUACCGCAUAAGCGCACAGAGCUGCAUGGCUCAGUGUGAAAAACUCCGGUGGUAUAAGAUGGACCCGCGUUGGAUUAGCUGGUUGGUGGGGUAACGGCCCACCAAGGCGACGAUCCAUAGCCGGCCUGAGAGGGUGAACGGCCACAGUGGGACUGAGACACGGCCCAGACUCCUACGGGAGGCAGCAGUGGGGAAUAUUGCACAAUGGGGGAAACCCUGAUGCAGCGACGCCGCGUGAAGGAAGAAGUAUCUCGGGAUGUAAACUUCUAUCAGCAGGGAAGAUAAUGACGGUACCUGACGAAGAAGCCCCGGCUAACUACGUG
RNAcentral lists this ribosomal RNA (478 nucleotides) under uncultured bacterium. RNAcentral describes it as "partial 16S ribosomal RNA". It matches the Rfam family "Bacterial small subunit ribosomal RNA", at positions 28 to 507 of the family's 1533-position model. The record is from RNAcentral.